Molecule: ribosomal RNA, 2937 nt
Filed under: Pectobacterium carotovorum subsp. carotovorum
Lineage: Bacteria; Pseudomonadati; Pseudomonadota; Gammaproteobacteria; Enterobacterales; Pectobacteriaceae
Also listed under: 1 other name
Description: 23S ribosomal RNA
Rfam family: Bacterial large subunit ribosomal RNA
Source: RNAcentral
GGGUUGUGAGGUUAAGCGACUAAGCGUACACGGUGGAUGCCUAGGCAGUCAGAGGCGAUGAAGGGCGUGCUAAUCUGCGAUAAGCGUCGGUAAGCUGAUAUGAAGCGUUAUACCCGACGAUACCCGAAUGGGGAAACCCAGUGUGUUUCGACACACUAUCAUUACGUGAAUACAUAGCGUAAUGAGGCGAACCGGGGGAACUGAAACAUCUCAGUACCCCGAGGAAAAGAAAUCAACCGAGAUUCCCCUAGUAGCGGCGAGCGAACGGGGAGGAGCCCAGAACCUGAAUCAGUUUGUGUGUUAGUGGAAGCGUCUGGAAAGUCGCACAGUAAAGGGUGAUAGUCCCGUACACAAAAAUGCACAAAUUGUGAGUUCGAUGAGUAGGGCGGGACACGUGACAUCCUGUCUGAAUAUGGGGGGACCAUCCUCCAAGGCUAAAUACUCCUGACUGACCGAUAGUGAACCAGUACCGUGAGGGAAAGGCGAAAAGAACCCCGGCGAGGGGAGUGAAAUAGAACCUGAAACCGUGUACGUACAAGCAGUGGGAGCCUUGAUUAAUCAGGGUGACUGCGUACCUUUUGUAUAAUGGGUCAGCGACUUAUAUUCUGUAGCAAGGUUAACCGUAUAGGGGAGCCGUAGGGAAACCGAGUCUUAACUGGGCGUUAAGUUGCAGGGUAUAGACCCGAAACCCGGUGAUCUAGCCAUGGGCAGGUUGAAGGUUGGGUAACACUAACUGGAGGACCGAACCGACUAAUGUUGAAAAAUUAGCGGAUGACUUGUGGCUGGGGGUGAAAGGCCAAUCAAACCGGGAGAUAGCUGGUUCUCCCCGAAAGCUAUUUAGGUAGCGCCUCGUGAAUUCAUCUUCGGGGGUAGAGCACUGUUUCGGCUAGGGGGUCAUCCCGACUUACCAACCCGAUGCAAACUACGAAUACCGAAGAAUGUUAUCACGGGAGACACACGGCGGGUGCUAACGUUCGUCGUGAAGAGGGAAACAACCCAGACCGCCAGCUAAGGUCCCAAAGUCAUGGUUAAGUGGGAAACGAUGUGGGAAGGCACAGACAGCCAGGAUGUUGGCUUAGAAGCAGCCAUCAUUUAAAGAAAGCGUAAUAGCUCACUGGUCGAGUCGGCCUGCGCGGAAGAUGUAACGGGGCUAAACCAUGCACCGAAGCUGCGGCAGCGACACUUAGGUGUUGUUGGGUAGGGGAGCGUUCUGUAAGCCGUCGAAGGUGACCUGUGAGGGUUGCUGGAGGUAUCAGAAGUGCGAAUGCUGACAUAAGUAACGAUAAUGCGGGUGAAAAACCCGCACGCCGGAAGACCAAGGGUUCCUGUCCAACGUUAAUCGGGGCAGGGUGAGUCGACCCCUAAGGCGAGGCUGAAAAGCGUAGUCGAUGGGAAACAGGUUAAUAUUCCUGUACUCGGUGUUACUGCGAAGGGGGGACGGAGAAAGCUAGGUUAUCCGGGCGACGGUUGUCCCGGUUUAAGCGUGAAGGUGGAUGACUUUGGUAAAUCCGGGUCGUCAUUAACACUGAGGCGUGAUGACGAGUCACUACGGUGAUGAAGUAACCAAUGCUACGCUUCCAGGAAAAGCCUCUAAGCUCCAGGUAACAUCAAAUCGUACCCCAAACCGACACAGGUGGUCAGGUAGAGAAUACUCAGGCGCUUGAGAGAACUCGGGUGAAGGAACUAGGCAAAAUGGUGCCGUAACUUCGGGAGAAGGCACGCUGAUGGUAGGUGAAGUGACUUGCUCACGGAGCUGAAAUCAGUCGAAGAUACCAGCUGGCUGCAACUGUUUAAUAAAAACACAGCACUGUGCAAACACGAAAGUGGACGUAUACGGUGUGACGCCUGCCCGGUGCCGGAAGGUUAAUUGAUGGGGUCAGCCGCAAGGCGAAGCUCUUGAUCGAAGCCCCGGUAAACGGCGGCCGUAACUAUAACGGUCCUAAGGUAGCGAAAUUCCUUGUCGGGUAAGUUCCGACCUGCACGAAUGGCGUAAUGAUGGCCAGGCUGUCUCCACCCGAGACUCAGUGAAAUUGAACUCGCUGUGAAGAUGCAGUGUACCCGCGGCAAGACGGAAAGACCCCGUGAACCUUUACUAUAGCUUGACACUGAACCUUGAGCCUUGAUGUGUAGGAUAGGUGGGAGGCUUUGAAGCGUGGACGCCAGUCUGCGUGGAGCCAACCUUGAAAUACCACCCUUUAAUGUUUGAUGUUCUAACGUGGGCCCGUGAUCCGGGUUGCGGACAGUGUCUGGUGGGUAGUUUGACUGGGGCGGUCUCCUCCCAAAGCGUAACGGAGGAGCACGAAGGUUAGCUAAUCCUGGUCGGACAUCAGGAGGUUAGUGCAAAGGCAUAAGCUAGCUUGACUGCGAGAGUGACAGCUCGAGCAGGUGCGAAAGCAGGUCUUAGUGAUCCGGUGGUUCUGAAUGGAAGGGCCAUCGCUCAACGGAUAAAAGGUACUCCGGGGAUAACAGGCUGAUACCGCCCAAGAGUUCAUAUCGACGGCGGUGUUUGGCACCUCGAUGUCGGCUCAUCACAUCCUGGGGCUGAAGUAGGUCCCAAGGGUAUGGCUGUUCGCCAUUUAAAGUGGUACGCGAGCUGGGUUUAGAACGUCGUGAGACAGUUCGGUCCCUAUCUGCCGUGGGCGUUGGAAGAUUGAGAGGGGUUGCUCCUAGUACGAGAGGACCGGAGUGAACGCACCACUGGUGUUCGGGUUGUGAUGCCAAUUGCAUUGCCCGGUAGCUAAGUGCGGAAGAGAUAACCGCUGAAAGCAUCUAAGCGGGAAACUUGCCUCGAGAUGAGUCUUCCCUGGGCACUAGAUGCCCCUGAAGGGCCGUUGAAGACUACGACGUAGAUAGGCUGGGUGUGUAAGCGUAGCGAUACGUUGAGCUAACCAGUACUAAUGACCCGAGAGGCUUAACCUUACAACACCGAAGGUGUUU